This 250-nucleotide ribosomal RNA is filed under the name uncultured bacterium. RNAcentral's name for it is "partial 16S ribosomal RNA". It matches the Rfam family "Bacterial small subunit ribosomal RNA", at positions 524 to 773 of the family's 1533-position model. The record is from RNAcentral.
UACGUAGGGUGCAAGCGUUGUCCGGAAUCAUUGGGCGUAAAGAGCGUGUAGGCGGCCCGAUUAGUCCGCUGUGAAAGUCCAGGGCUCAACCCUGGAAUGCCGGUGGAUACUGUCGGGCUAGAGUCCGGAAGGGGCGAGUGGAAUUCCUGGUGUAGCGGUGAAAUGCGCAGAUAUCAGGAGGAACACCAAUGGCGAAGGCAGCUCGCUGGGACGUGACUGACGCUGAGACGCGAAAGCGUGGGGAGCAAAC